Transfer RNA from Ovis aries (sheep), 72 nucleotides. It matches the Rfam family "tRNA". Rfam says of the family: Transfer RNA (tRNA) molecules are approximately 80 nucleotides in length. Their secondary structure includes four short double-helical elements and three loops (D, anti-codon, and T loops). Lineage: Eukaryota; Metazoa; Chordata; Mammalia; Artiodactyla; Bovidae. The record is from Rfam.
UCCCUGGGGGCUGAGAUGGUAAAGCAUCUGCCUACAAUGCAUGAGACCCAGGUACGAUCCCUGGGUUGGGAA